AUGAUGAUGGCAAAGCUAUAGACAUCGCCCUUGUACGUGCCCUUGUUCAUCAGCGUCAUACUCCUCAAGAGCUCUGGGGCUGUCCACAGCUGAUCUGCAGAUAGAAAAAGAUGAAGGAGUGAUCCAUCAGACUUAACAAACCGGCCAUCCACCACACAGUUUCGAGACUUCAGACGACCAUGAAUGAUACCCCGAUUAUGCAGAUACUUCAUUCCCUGAAGGACAAUGAGGGAUAACAGACCAAGAACAGAAGAAAUACAGAAAUAAGUGUUAAAAAUGAGAACAAGAGAAGUAGUUUGUUGGACUACAGUGUGGAACAGCAAAUGAGAUCAGGACCGAAUUGCACAGUCCAUAAGCAGGGAGGAUUUGAACAUCCAGUCAAGUCUCAUUUCUUCGUUGUUAAGUAGGUCCUCCAGGCUGCCUCUUGUGCAGUGUUCGGUCACAAUGCCGAAUAUCCCCGAGUCCAGAAACAGGCCCA
Molecule: long non-coding RNA, 478 nt
Organism: Pangasianodon hypophthalmus (striped catfish)
Lineage: Eukaryota; Metazoa; Chordata; Actinopteri; Siluriformes; Pangasiidae
Exons: 3
Source: RefSeq, a predicted model, not a curated record